This 492-nucleotide long non-coding RNA is filed under the name Mytilus galloprovincialis (Mediterranean mussel). The record is from RNAcentral. Lineage: Eukaryota; Metazoa; Mollusca; Bivalvia; Mytilida; Mytilidae.
UUGUUAAUCUAUAAAAUAAAAUCGAACAGACCUAUAAAAAUCCAAUUGCACGUGUUGGUUUAAUCUAUUCAUAUCUUUAUUUAUGUUUACAUCACUUAUAUGGUCAUCUGAGGUCAAAUCAAUAGUUAAUUAGAUGGUGUCUUAUUCAGGACUAAAAUACACACGAAAACAAACCUAUAUAUUAUCUACCCCAUGCUCUGUAAACUGUUUAUUUUAGACUUUUGAUAGUUUGGAUAAAUGUUUUACAUUGUUAUAAAUUAAAUAUGAGAAUUUUAGUCAAAUCGGUGACCAUGAAUUUGACAGCUAGUGCCCCUUUAAAAAUGAAAUUGAUAUUGCGUUCCUUCCUAUUGUAUACUAGACUGAUAAAUAUAUAUUUGACUCAAAGUUUCAUGAAAAGAGACCUGAAAAGGAAAUACAUUGUAGAUUUCUGCGCAGAUGUGGGAAUUCAAAACACGACACAAAAAUUUUGAACGAUUUUGAGUUCAUUAGUAC